GUCCAGACUCCUACGGGAGGCAGCAGUGGGGAAUAUUGCACAAUGGGCGCAAGCCUGAUGCAGCCAUGCCGCGUGUGUGAAGAAGGCCUUCGGGUUGUAAAGCACUUUCAGCGGGGAGGAAGGCGGUGAGGUUAAUAACCUCAUCGAUUGACGUUACCCGCAGAAGAAGCACCGGCUAACUCCGUGCCAGCAGCCGCGGUAAUACGGAGGGUGCAAGCGUUAAUCGGAAUUACUGGGCGUAAAGCGCACGCAGGCGGUCUGUCAAGUCGGAUGUGAAAUCCCCGGGCUCAACCUGGGAACUGCAUUCGAAACUGGCAGGCUAGAGUCUUGUAGAGGGGGGUAGAAUUCCAGG
Molecule: ribosomal RNA, 352 nt
Filed under: Acinetobacter baumannii
Lineage: Bacteria; Pseudomonadati; Pseudomonadota; Gammaproteobacteria; Moraxellales; Moraxellaceae
Description: bacterial SSU rRNA
Rfam family: Bacterial small subunit ribosomal RNA
Source: RNAcentral